CGCUGCUGCCGUUGCUGUCGCUGCUGCUGCUGGUGCUGCUGCGAAUGCCAGCGGCAUGCACGUCGGUCAUUUUUGUAUUUGGAAGCACAAUUACUUUCCGUCAUUUGUAUUUGGAACGCCGCAGCAGAAAGAAGGUCGUCAAAAAGCAUUAUUGGCACAACAUUUUCGGCAAAAGGCAAAAAAAAAAAAACACCAACAAAAAUCAAAUCAAACGCAAAGAAAAGUUAAAAUUAUGCAUUAACGUCGUCCGUCGCCGCCGUUGUUCAUUGUUUUUUUUCCCUCUGUUGUGUUUGUUCGUAAAUAGUUUUAUUUUCAGUUGUUCGAGAAACCGCAAAGUGAUCUUGAUCUGCUGUUGCUUCUUCUCCUUCUUCGCUCGCUCGUUCGUUCGUUCGUUCCAAAACAUUUUCACCAAUUUGGCCAAAUUGAUACAAAUACCAUUUCUUUUCGUAUUGGAGACCACUGCAACAAAUUUUAUUUCGAAAUUCAUUGAAAAGACAUCAGAAAGAGCAAAAAAAAAAAAAAAAACGCGCGCAUAAAAAGCUUAAAAUAAAAUAUAUAAUUACAACUAAUAAAACUCAAACAAUGCAAGAACAGCAACAAUAAUUAAUGGACAAACAACCAGCUGUAAACGACAAUUUCUCGAUAAAAAACAAAACCGCAAAAUUCGUUUCGGUAUCAACCUUAAAGCAAAACAAUAAUCAAUGAGCCAAAAACACGAGUCAUAGUAAAAAAAAAAAAAGUUAAGCAUCAAAAUUCAAAUAAAGAAACGUCCUUUUUGAAGCAUUCCACGCCCGAACACAACAACAAAAAAAUAAAUAAA
Long non-coding RNA from Drosophila grimshawi, 820 nucleotides. RefSeq lists it as uncharacterized. The transcript has 2 exons. Lineage: Eukaryota; Metazoa; Arthropoda; Insecta; Diptera; Drosophilidae. The record is from RefSeq and is a predicted model, not a curated record.